AAGUCGUAACAAGGUCUCCGUAGGUGAACCUGCGGAGGGAUCAUUAACACUAUUUGUUCUUUGAUGCAAAUCAAAGUUCAAAUGACCCUUUAAACCACUCGUGCACUAAGACUAACUGGUUUUAACAGCAAUGUUAAAAAUCUACUUGUCUUUCACUUUACGCCAAUGUACUGAUUCAGUUGAAGGAAAUCGAAAGAUUUUACUUCAAAAUAUUCAAUAAACUAAGCACAACUCUUAGCAACGGAUAUCUUGGUUCUC
Molecule: unclassified non-coding RNA, 258 nt
Filed under: fungal sp.
Lineage: Eukaryota; Fungi
Description: partial internal transcribed spacer region
Rfam family: Eukaryotic small subunit ribosomal RNA (bases 1-46)
Source: RNAcentral